AGAGCACCGCUGCUACAAAAAAUAUCGUCGCAAACUAUGUAGCCGCAGCCGCAGCCGCGAGUCAGGAGCAGCACACCCAAUGGUUCCCGUUAGGGUUUGAGGCUCUAGGGCUUUAUAUACAUUCCCUCAGAAUACCUGGCUUCUCUUUCGUGACCUACUUCUUGCGGCUUCUCAUCUGCUUAGCACUUGCAUCCUUAGAAGAGUUCCGUAAACCAUGAGGGCGAAGUGGAAGAAAAAACGCAUGAGGCGCCUGAAACGUAAGCGCCGAAAGAUGAGGCAAAGAUCCAAGUAGAUCUCUGAAGAAGGCUGUCCAGCGGCUUCGGCUAGCCAUAAGGCUUGGGUCGCACACGAGGAAGUCUACAUUCAUUGCUAGCCUCACGGAUGCAUUAGUACUGAUAGGCCUUCGCACCCAUCGCUCUGUAGAGGAUUACAAAUGACGAUUUUGUACUUGAAUGCCUCUGUUGAGGAUGAGUAAAGAUGGCAUGCGGAUUCUAAUGCAAAAACUCCUUGUUA
Long non-coding RNA from Physcomitrium patens, 513 nucleotides. RefSeq lists it as uncharacterized. Lineage: Eukaryota; Viridiplantae; Streptophyta; Bryopsida; Funariales; Funariaceae. The record is from RefSeq and is a predicted model, not a curated record.